CAAAUUACAAGCUCUGAGUGCUCUACCAUUUUGAGCUACAUCCCUCUAACCUAACCUAACCUAACCUAACCUAACCUAACAACAAAUGCACACACAGCAGAGUAUAGACACAAGAGAUGAUAGACACGAAUCAAACAAUUUGUUAUUCACCGUUUUUUUCUUUUUUGCAUGUUAUCCAUGUUUUAAAAAACACCCAAGAGAUGAGAGACAAAACAAAUCAUGCGGCUAAACCUAUUCAGGCAGUACAAAACUUGAUCGGUGAAAAUCUUCCAAACAACGUAAGAGUAGAGCAAUAAGGACCAGUAACUAACAACUAAUGCAGAUCUCAUUUAUAUAUCAAACGAUCAAAUGAUGCAUGACGGAAAACAAUGUUAAAAACAAACAACAAAAUCCAGUUCAAGAGAAAUGUCGUAGAAUGAAUUCACCGCAAUAAACCCAAACAAUGGGACCGACAAUUAGAACACGAAAUAAAACAGAGUGCUUUUGACGUAAAAUAUAUCAUGAUUUUUGUAGCAAAAUAUCAUGCAUGUCAUUUAGCAAUAACAAUUAAAACAAAAUCAGAGAAUGGCUUUAACUUACAAUUCGAACCAAGCAUUCCUUCAUUCCCCUUACGUGCUUUGACCUUAUUUUAGCUUUAUAUUCCAAUUCAAUAUCUUUAGACGCCAAUUGCAGACACCCAUCAAUUCACUGUAAAUUAUUGAUGCACUUCAUGCGGCUCCUUUCAGAGUUAACCCACAAUUAAAAAUAUUAAUCACUUUGAUUAGUUAAAAUGUUAAUCCAGGAACAUUUUCAUCCCUAUCUUCACGUUGCACAUACAAAAUGACAUGACAUUUACAUUACUUUUUGAAAUACAACCUGCACACCAACAACGUCAUCAAUAGACCAGACAUCACCUAAGUUACAUCUGCACGACAUCUUCAAUGAAAAACAGGGAAACAAUGAACUCUAUAGAAAAGAACCGAACUCCACGACAUCUUCAAAGAGCAGUUCCAUCAACAUGAAUAUGACACACUGCACUCAUUCAUGAAAAGUAAAAUCCAUACUGCAUAAUCAUAUCCCAAAAAAUACUGCCAGAUAGUUCACAUUUAAACACCAACUCUAUGAGUUUCUAGCAAGGGCCCUCUGCAGGAAUGCAUCUCCACAUAGCUGCCAGACGUAUGAACUUUGACAAGAUAACAAAUAAAACGAUAACUUGAUAAGCCAGAAAGCAUGAACCUCUUAAUCUGUGCCUUAAACUCCCAAAAGAAUUCUGGCCGGCCUAAGUAGAAGACAAUGAGUCAGUCCAACCCCAAACUCCACGAUAAUUAAGAUUAUUCAGCACAAGACCACUGCAAGAGAACAUAGUUGUUGAAACAAAACCAAAAUUCACGACAGUUGAUGUAACAAAACCAGAAUUCAUCACUUCGGUCCAUGUAUAGUGCCAUCUUGAAAAUCAAAGCCAUGAUGCAACAAACUCCAUUUUAUAAGCAGUCCAUACUCCUCUAGGAUCCAAUGAAAUAAGGCUCCGCCCCAUCACUGCAUACAUUUAGAAUCACAUCUUACAGCGGUUUAAAGAAAAAACUAAUCACAAGAAAAGAAGCAUCAUACUCCCUCCUGAAAUCAAACCACAGGAGGGUAACUGUGUUUAAAGACAACUGCAUCUGAAAUGAAAAUGCCGGAUCUUAUCCAAGGAAAAUUCUUUAAAUUUAAAUAGCCAAACAAACUUCAGCAUCUCUCAAAUAGUUGUGAAUCCCAUCAGUCGUACAUCAGGCUGUGCAGUAUUUGAACAUAAACCAAGCCAAGAUGCAUAAAACCAGAGCCAGAAGACAAUGAAGCAAAGAAGCGUAAACUGAAGAAAAUCUUUCUAUGAAAACGGUGAAGGAUAACAGAUGGAUAGCAAACCAAAUGUGAGGACGGUUCCAUAAAGUAGACAUACGAUAGACUCCAAGCUAAAAAAAUCUGCACGGCAAACAAUCCCCAAGCAAUACGAAAUCAAAUCAUAAGCCAAGAACCCAAACCCCUUCAAAAAGCAGUAUGCUCCCCUUCAACAAAGUUGAACCCAGACAGAAGUUGGGAUGUCUCUGCAUAAAAAAAGUACUCUCAAACAUAGAGCAAAUUUAUAAACUAAAAAAAUAAAAUAAAAUCAUAAAGAUCUCAUAAGAACAACUUAGAAUAGAAAAAAAGGCCAAAGAGUAUCUGACUCCAUCCUAAAAGCAGGCAGCCCCGUUUUUCAUUCAACUGAGUGAGACAAAAGAGUUUGGCAUCUGCAAUAGAACAGUGACCGUAUAAUGGUUCAGCAUCUCAAAAACCAAAAACAAAUUCAUAAGACAGGAACUAUGGAAAUCCCCCCUUUCAGAAGCAGCCCACUCUCCUUCACUAAACUUGCACACCACGUACAAACUAAUGUCGGGACGUGUCUGCAUAGAAAAAACAUUGCUCAAACAACUGAAGCCAAGCAAAGAAAAGAAGACAGUAAGACAAAAGACCCCCUCUUAAAAGUCAACUGCUCCCCUUUAAUGAGUUUGACUCGAUCCAAAAUAGAAAGGCAUCUGCACAAAUAACUCCUCAAACAAUUUCGCAAUGCUCUAAGAAAUACAAGAUCAAGAAAUAGACCAAGAAGUAUUAACCCCUCUUUAAAAACCGGCAGACCGUUGUCAUCCGACACUCUUGAGACUUCAUAAACAGGUUAUUUUGAAAUCGAUCUGCAAAAAACAUUGUUCCAAUAACUGUUUCAGAUCUCAACCAGGAGUACGAUAUUAUAUCAAAAAGCAAAAACCGCUCAAACCCCCUCAGACUGCCCUCCUUCCUCUGCUUGCCAUAUACGGAUGGAGGAUAGAAUGUGUCUGCAUACAGAAACAAUGCUCAACUCAUGGCGCAAGAUUGGAUACAACAUCUAAGAAUGGACAUUUAAAAGAUAAAGGAAAUCCCCCUUAAAAGCACCCCUUUCCCCUUGAACAAAGUGAGAUUCCAUAUCCAACCUAGAUUUAAAAUGCAUCUGCAAAGAAUAUUGCCCAAAUAAUUUCAAAAGCUCUCUGAGAAUAGGAGAUGAAAACUUAAACCAAUAACCACGGAACCCCAUUCAGAAGCAGAUAGCACAUCUUUCUUUGACCGAGUCAGACGUCAUAACCACGAAAUUUUGGGAUGCAUCUGAUAUGAAACAUUGAUCAUUGAUCAAAUAAUACUAAAGAUAACAUAAACCCAAGAAAUAAGAAUUUAAAUCAUAAUCCAAUAACUAAUCAAACCCCCUCUUGGAAGCAGCUUGUUCUACUUCAACAAAGUUGGACCUCAUUUACAGACGAGUUGGAAAGUGUCUGCAUACAAAGACAUUGCUCAAAUAAUAGCGCAAAACCAUACUCUAGGAUAAGAAAACAAAAACAUACGGCAACAGAACCCCGUCAAUAUUCACUGUUCUCCUUUAACAAGGAAGGACUCCAAAAACAAGGCGCUUCAACGUAUCUGCAAACAAGCAACUGGGUAGGCACAAAUUGCUCAAAUAUAGAACCAAACAAAGCCCAAGAAUAGAAAACUAAAUCAGAAGCAAAAAGAAAGAACUUGAACCCCCAACUAAAACCAGCGCAUUCUCCUUCAAAACGUGAGAUUCCAUGAACAAAAAACAUACCAUCUGCAGAAAAAUCAUUGCUCAAAAAUGGUGCUAGAUGGUAAAAGCUUUUAAAAAAGAAGAUAAUAACGCAUGAGCCAAGAAUCACCAAACCCUCUUAUACAAUCAUGCAGCCCUUUUUCCUUUGAGUGAAACUCCAUAACAAGAAAAUUUUGGGAUGCAUCUGAUAAAAACAGUGAUCUUUGAUCAAAUAAUGAUUCCAGAUGGCAUAAAUCUCAAGAAAUAAGAAAUUAAACCCAAGAAAUAAGAAUUUAAAUCAUAAUCCAAUAACUAAUCAAACCCCCUCUUGGAAGCAGCUUGUUCUACUUUAACAAAGUUGGACCUCAUUUACAGACGAGUUGGAAAGUGUCUGCAUACAAAGACAUUGCUCAAAUAAUAGCACCAAACCAUACUCUAGUAUAAGAAAACAAAAACAUACAACAACAGAACCCCUGUCAAUAUUCACUGUUCUCCUUUAACGAGGGAGGACUCCAAAAACAAGGCGCUUCAACAUAUCUGCAAACAAACAAUUGGGUAGCCACAAAUUGCUCAAAUGUAGAACCAAACAAAAGCCCAAGAAAAAAAAACUAAAUCAGAAGCAAGAAGAAAGAACUUGAACCCCCAACUAAAAUCAGCGCAUUCUCCUUCAAAACGUGAGAUUCCAUGAACAAAAAACAUACCAUCUGCAGAAAAAUCAUUGCUCAAACAUGGUGCUAGAUGGUAAAAGCUUUUGAAAAAGAAGAUAAUAACCCAUGAGCCAAGAAACACCAAACCCUCUUAUACAAUCAUGCAGCCCUUUUUCCUUUGACUGAGUGAAACUCCAUAACAAGAAAAUUUUGGGAUGCAUCUUAUAAAAACAGUGAUCUUUGAUCAAAUAAUGAUUCCAGAUGGCAUAAAUCUCAAGAAAUAAGAAAUUAAACCCAAGAAAUAAGAAUUUAAAUCAUAAUCCAAUAACUAAUCAAACCCCCUCUUGGAAGCAGCUUGUUCUACUUUAACAAAGUUGGACCUCAUUUACAGACGAGUUGGAAAGUGUCUGCAUACAAAGACAUUGCUCAAAUAAUAGCACCAAACCAUACUCUAGGAUAAGAAAACAAAAACAUACAACAACAGAACCCCUGUCAAUAUUCACUGUUCUCCUUUAACGAGGGAGGACUCCAAAAACAAGGCGCUUCAACAUAUCUGCAAACAAACAAUUGGGUAGCCACAAAUUGCUCAAAUGUAGAACCAAACAAAAGCCCAAGAAAAAAAAACUAAAUCAGAAGCAAGAAGAAAGAACUUGAACCCCCAACUAAAAUCAGCGCAUUCUCCUUCAAAACGUGAGAUUCCAUGAACAAAAAACAUACCAUCUGCAGAAAAAUCAUUGCUCAAACAUGGUGCUAGAUGGUAAAAGCUUUUGAAAAAGAAGAUAAUAACCCAUGAGCCAAGAAACACCAAACCCUCUUAUACAAUCAUGCAGCCCUUUUUCCUUUGACUGAGUGAAACUCCAUAACAAGAAAAUUUUGGGAUGCAUCUGAUAAAAACAGUGAUCUUUGAUCAAAUAAUGAUUCCAGAUGGCAUAAAUCUCAAGAAUAAAAAAUUAAACAAGUCAAGAACCACCCAAACCCACUGUACAAAGCUGUUUCCUUCAACAAGGUAAGAAUGUGUCUGCAUACAGAAGCAUUUUAUUCUUAGACAACGUAGAAAAAUCUAUACUAAAAAACAAAUUAACAGGAUUAUAAGACAAGAGAACCCCCUCUUAGAUAUCAGCAUGCACUUCUCUAAAAUGCGACUCCUCAACAGACACUUAAGACAUCAGCAUACACAGAAGUGGGAAGCUGUCCGCAUGAAUAAACUUACUCAAAUAUAUCACCAAAGUAAAGAAACAGAAAAAUAAGUCAGAAGACAACAAGCAUAAAAACCCCCCUCAAAACAGCUUAUUCUCAGAAAACAAAGAGAGACUGCUUGAACAUACAUGAGCUAUUCUGCCAAGAACACUGCUCAAACCCAAAAAUAAUAAAUCAAGAUAUAUACGUAUGUGUGUGUGUAUAUAUAUAUAUAUUAAGACAUAAAUUGGAGCAAUCCAUUUUCCUUAAACUACCAGUCAAUUUAAAUUUGAUCCGUAAAACAUUGUUCAUAAGCCAAUAAAUAAAUAAAUGUGAAAAAAGAAGCAUCAAACCCAUCUUAAGUAACAAUCUUGCUCCUAAAAGACGCAAUAAUCACCUGAAUACAUACAGAAACCAACAAAGUCGUUACAGACUGGAACGAGCACAAAGAUACGUCUACAACAACAAAGCCUUUUCCCACUAAGUGGGGUCAGCUGUACAAAUAUACUUCUAUAAACCAAAUUUGAUUGAAGAACUAAAAACAGACCUUGAGGACAAAAAUCAGAAUCUGAAAGAACCAUACACGUUCCAAAUUUACUGAAUUUACUGUCAGUCACUAGAAGGGUUAAACAAGAGGAAAAACAUAACAUGAUUUUAAACAAAAAGGGUUAAACAAGAGGAAAAACAUAACAUGAUUUUAAACAAAAAUUCACGAGUUUAAGAUUUAUUUUUUUUUUUAAGAUUUAAAUAGCAUAUGAUCCGACCUCAAAACCAUCAAAAUAUUAGUCGAGUAAGAUACCUACCUAACCCUCCUGCCUAAACCAUCGAUGCUGAUUCAAUCUGGUAAACAGGGCCUGAAAAUUAACAACGUCGUUCCACUUAUUCAAAAGGAUGGGAUCAAAAUUUCUAAGUUAUUAUGAACUUUUGGAAGAAAGAAAAAAUGGAAGAGGUAACCCCCAACGUAUAAGGUAAAAUUAAUGAUCUUCCACUCCGAAUCAAAACCCUAGGGACACGUUAUCUGGUAAACAGGGCCUGAAAUUUAACAACAACGUUCCACUUAUUCGAAAGGAUGGGGAUCGAAUUUCUAAAUUAUUAUGUUAUAUAAACUUUAGAAAGAAAGAAAACGGAAGAGGUAACCGAUGUGGUGCAAACGCAUAGGUAAAAUUGAUGAUCUUUCCCUCCGAAUCGAAACAAAAGCUAAACCAGUUACUGGAUCCAGACCACCCUGGGACAGGAAAUCAAAAAACCGCAAAAGCAGAUCAAGAAGAUAAAACGAGACCUCAAUCCAACUAAUUGGAAAUCAUACCAACAUCACAAAUUCUUGUCCGGGAGACCGCGAUCGGUAUAAAAAUCCCAACAAUUCACAACCUUUAAACGUAUUAACUUGGUAGAAAAAAGGCCAUCGCCAACAUUCCAGCCAAACGCUAAAAACACACCAAUAACACUACAACGCAGAAUUAAUCAAUCCCAAAAAGUAAGUCGAAAGGCGGAGAACUUAAAUAUUUAAAGGGAAUUCAACCUUCAAUCAUCGUCAGAUGACUGGGAUCGAAAAAUUUUAACCUGGAAAGAGAAAUCGUCAUCGCCAGGAAUCCAGCCAACCCUAAAAUCACAACCAUAACGAAACGCAAUCCAUAAAAAUCAACAAACCCAAACGGAGGAAUCGAGCCGAAAUCGAAAUCUAAAAACGCAGAUUCAACACCAGCACAGAGCGAUGAAACCUGAUCGCUGACGCCACACCGAUCAAGGGCGCCAUCCGAACAAGCGAGUUGGGAGGAUGCCUAAGGGGGUAUUUAUAGGUAUAGUGAGUGAAUACGAACGGCUGAGAUUAAACCGUGAUGGAAACAAUGGACGGUGGAUAUUAAGGUAGAAGGGGUAAGUGAUUCGCUGUCAAC
This 7271-nucleotide long non-coding RNA is filed under the name Malus domestica (apple). RNAcentral describes it as "long non-coding RNA (MDOM_LNC019240)". Lineage: Eukaryota; Viridiplantae; Streptophyta; Magnoliopsida; Rosales; Rosaceae. The record is from RNAcentral.